RNAcentral lists this ribosomal RNA (351 nucleotides) under uncultured bacterium. Its description in RNAcentral is "bacterial SSU rRNA". It matches the Rfam family "Bacterial small subunit ribosomal RNA", at positions 917 to 1267 of the family's 1533-position model. The record is from RNAcentral.
GGGCCCGCACAAGCGGUGGAGCAUGUGGUUUAAUUCGAUGAUACGCGAGGAACCUUACCAGGGCUUAAAUGUAAGUUGCAUAGAUCAGAGAUGGUCUUUUCUUCGGACUACUUACAAGGUGCUGCAUGGUUGUCGUCAGCUCGUGCCGUGAGGUGUCAGGUUAAGUCCUAUAACGAGCGCAACCCCCUGUCGUUAGUUGCCAGCAAGUUAAGUUCGGGCACUCUAGCGAGACUGCCAGUGCAAACUGUGAGGAAGGUGGGGAUGACGUCAAAUCAUCACGGCCCUUACGUCCUGGGCUACACACGUGCUACAAUGGCCGGUACAGAGAGCAGCCACUACCGCGAGUAGGAG